UUUCAACUAUACCUCACUACACAGCUCAGAAAUGGCUUCCAAGAAUUUGCUUCUUCUCUUCGCCAUAGUCCUUAUCAUCUCUUCCGACGUCGUUUCAUCAGCUCGUACCGACCCUGCUGCUAUAGUGGCCGCCGAUGCUACAAAGGGUGUGGAAGUAGAAGGAUGGCAGCAUGAAGACCGCCACGGCCGCCGCCGCCGCCAUUGCCAUCACCACCACUGUGAUGAGGCUGGCGGAGAUGGACAUCACAAUUAGCUUCAGUUGAGAUGUUUGAGUAUACGUGUAUUGUAUUUGUAAGGAAUAAGGAGGCAUACCCUAAGCUCUGUUUGACUUCGAAAUAGGCACAUCUAUUAUGUUUGGUGUUGUCUUGUGUGUUUGUUUAUACUUGAUGUACUAAACUUCAUCGGAUUUUACGUAUAUCAAAACUUGUUUUUGCA
Molecule: long non-coding RNA, 435 nt
Organism: Salvia splendens (bonfire salvia)
Lineage: Eukaryota; Viridiplantae; Streptophyta; Magnoliopsida; Lamiales; Lamiaceae
Exons: 2
Source: RefSeq, a predicted model, not a curated record